AUAGCGUAUAUUAAAGUUGUUGCAGUUAAAAAGCUCGUAGUUGAAUUUUGGACUCGGCUGUUGUGGUCGGCCGCAUAGGUCUGUACUCUUCUGGCCGGGUCUUUCCUUCUGGAAAACCGUCAUGCCAUUUAUUUGGUGUGGCGGAGAUCCAGGACUUUUACCUUGAAAAAAUUAGAGUGUUUAAAGCAGGCAUACGCUUGAAUACAUUAGCAUGGAAUAAUAGAAUAGGACUUUGGUUCUAUUUUGUUGGUUUCUAGGACCGAAGUAAUGAUUAAUAGGGACAGUUGGGGGCAUUAGUAUUUAAUUGUCAGAGGUGAAAUUCUUGGAUUUAUGAAAGACUAACUUCUG
Molecule: ribosomal RNA, 348 nt
Filed under: uncultured eukaryote
Lineage: Eukaryota
Description: SSU rRNA
Rfam family: Eukaryotic small subunit ribosomal RNA
Source: RNAcentral